RNAcentral lists this ribosomal RNA (193 nucleotides) under uncultured Lactobacillus sp. Its description in RNAcentral is "partial 16S ribosomal RNA". It matches the Rfam family "Bacterial small subunit ribosomal RNA", at positions 338 to 524 of the family's 1533-position model. The record is from RNAcentral. Lineage: Bacteria; Bacillati; Bacillota; Bacilli; Lactobacillales; Lactobacillaceae.
CCUACGGGAGGCAGCAGUAGGGAAUUUCCACAAUGGGCGCAAGCCUGAUGGAGCAACACCGCGUGAGUGAAGAAGGGUUUCGGCUCGUAAAACUCUGUUGUUGAAGAAGAACGUGCGUGAGAGUAACUGUUCAUGCAGUGACGGUAUUCAACCAGAAAGUCACGGCUAACUACGUGCCAGCAGCCGCGGUAAU